Molecule: ribosomal RNA, 722 nt
Filed under: uncultured bacterium
Lineage: Bacteria
Description: bacterial SSU rRNA
Rfam family: Bacterial small subunit ribosomal RNA
Source: RNAcentral
CAAGCCACCGGGAUCGAUUAAAGUUUGAUCAUGGCUCAGGACGAACGCUGGCGGCGUGCCUAAUACAUGCAAGUCGAGCGGACCGAAGGGAGCUUGCUCCUUUAGGUUAGCGGCGGACGGGUGAGUAACACGUGGGCAACCUGCCCUGCAGACUGGGAUAACUUCGGGAAACCGGAGCUAAUACCGGAUAACACCGAAAACCGCAUGGUUUUCGGUUGAAAGGCGGCUUUUAGCUGUCACUGCAGGAUGGGCCCGCGGCGCAUUAGCUAGUUGGUGAGGUAACGGCUCGCCAAGGCGACGAUGCGUAGCCGACCUGAGAGGGUGACCGGCCACACUGGGACUGAGACACGGCCCAGACUCCUACGGGAGGCAGCAGUAGGGAAUCUUCCGCAAUGGACGAAAGUCUGACGGAGCAACGCCGCGUGAGCGAAGAAGGUCUUCGGAUCGUAAAAGCUCUGUUGUCAGGGAAGAACAAGUACCGUUCGAACAGGGCGGUACCUUGACGGUACCUGACGAGGAAGCCACGGCUAACUACGUGCCAGCAAGCCGCGGGUAAUACGUAAGUGGCAAGCGUUGUCCGGAANUAUUUGGGCGUAAAGCGCGCCCAGGCGGUUCCUUAAAUCUGAUGUGAAAUCUCCCGGCUCAACCGCGAGCGGCCUUGGAAAACUGGGGAACUUGAUUGCAGAAAGGGAGCGGAAUUCCCCUUGUACGGUUGAAUGGCU